This 101-nucleotide signal recognition particle RNA is filed under the name Sulfurospirillum barnesii SES-3. RNAcentral's name for it is "Bacterial signal recognition particle RNA". It matches the Rfam family "Bacterial small signal recognition particle RNA". Rfam says of the family: The signal recognition particle (SRP) is a universally conserved ribonucleoprotein involved in the co-translational targeting of proteins to membranes. Archaeal SRP consists of a 7S RNA and homologues of the eukaryotic SRP19 and SRP54 proteins. In most bacteria, the SRP consists of a 4.5S RNA and the Ffh protein (a homologue of the eukaryotic SRP54 protein). The record is from RNAcentral. Lineage: Bacteria; Pseudomonadati; Campylobacterota; Epsilonproteobacteria; Campylobacterales; Sulfurospirillaceae.
UCUUCUAGACCUGUGCAAUGUCUUUUAAGAGCAUCGCUUCAGGGUGGGAACACAGCAGAGCACUUUUAUUAGGUGUGUGCCGCAGUCAUCUGGAAGAGGGU